Molecule: ribosomal RNA, 497 nt
Filed under: uncultured bacterium
Lineage: Bacteria
Description: partial 16S ribosomal RNA
Rfam family: Bacterial small subunit ribosomal RNA
Source: RNAcentral
GAUGAACGCUGGCGGCGUGCCUAAUACAUGCAAGUCGAGCGAACGGACGAGAAGCUUGCUUCUCUGAUGUUAGCGGCGGACGGGUGAGUAACACGUGGAUAACCUACCUAUAAGACUGGGAUAACUUCGGGAAACCGGAGCUAAUACCGGAUGAUAUUUUGAACCGCAUGGUUCAAAAGUGAAAGACGGUCUUGCUGUCACUUAUAGAUGGAUCCGCGCUGCAUUAGCUAGUUGGUAAGGUAACGGCUUACCAAGGCAACGAUGCAUAGCCGACCUGAGAGGGUGAUCGGCCACACUGGAACUUAGACACGGUCCAGACUCCUACGGGAGGCAGCAGUAGGGAAUCUUCCGCAAUGGGCGAAAGCCUGACGGAGCAACGCCGCGUGAGUGAUGACGGUCUUCGGAUCGUAAAACUCUGUUAUUAGGGAAGAACAUAUGUGUAAGUAACUGUGCACAUCUUGACGGUACCUAAUCAGAAAGCCACGGCUAACUACGUG